ACCAGUCAUGCUACGAGCCAACAUACAUCUCUUCCUGUUGAUUGCUGCCUCCUCUUCCUUCCUCCUGCUAGUGUACCAUCUGGGACCACAACCAGUGUUCAACUCGCACAUGGUGAUCAGCAGCACUACAACUCCACUUACUGAUAUACUGAAUUAUUCAGCUUGCAAUCCAACGACGAGCUUCUACUACUCAAAUCAAGAAGACUGCUCUCUCCCCUACGUCACCAUGAACGCAGGAGGACGCCUGGGUAACAAACUCUGCCAAUAUAUGUCAUUAGUAUUACUCAGGAAGACAUUUGGUGUCCGGUGUGGCUCAUCCUGUGUUUGUGGUGUCCAGUGACGAUCGUGGCUGGUGCUUAAGCAAUAUAAUGGACAAAGAUGUUGUUUUUGCAGGUGGCGCUGAUCCUGUGACAGACAUGGCCCUCAUGACCCUGGGUGACCAUCAUGUCAUAACCUAUGGUACCUAUGGCUUCGUAGGCGCUUUCCUAGGAAGAGGAACCAUCUUCUUCCCAAAAAACAAAGACUUUCUUGAGUUCCCAUGUUUCAACUCGACCAUUGUUCAUCUAGUCGACAGAUUUUAGUUUUACUAUCAAGUUUGUAGUCAUAAAUAAAUAUAUUAUUUGUAAUAAAGUUGGUAGAAUUACCGACAAUAUGUAAAGUAAAAGGACACAAGUGCAACUAAUGUGACAUUUACUGUGGCAACGUUUCGCUGGUAAUGGCUUGAUAAAGCUCCUGGAGAGCGAAACGUUGCCACAAUAAAUGUCACAUUAGUUGCACUUGUGUCCUUUUACUUUACAAAUAUUUAUUUGUACAAGUACAUGAUGCAACUUAUACAGACCAUAGCUAACAUCAGUGACAUACUAUAUAGAAAGCCCCUGGUUAUGCACAGCAUAUCGGGAAAAUUAGGUUAAUUUUGUCUCUAGUAUGCGACCCAUACCAGUCGACUAACACCCGGGUACCUACUUACUGCUAGGUGGACACAGACAGCAGGUAUACACAAAUAACCCGCACAGAAAAGAGAGAAGCUUACGACGAUGUUUCGGUCCGACUUGGACCAUUUACAAAGUCACACAUGUGCGGCGUCUGGGUGUCUUUGUUGUGGACGUUUCGCCAUCCAGUGGCUGGCUGGAUGGCGAAACGUCUACGAUAGAGAUGCCCAGGUGUUGCGCAUAAGUCUUAAUUUCAUCUUGUCGGUAUUAUAUACCAUUCUUUUACUACUACUACUACUACUACUACUACUACUACUACUACCACCACCACCAUCACCACCACCUCUUCCUGCCUAUAUAUAGCCGUCC
Molecule: non-coding RNA, 1298 nt
Organism: Cherax quadricarinatus
Lineage: Eukaryota; Metazoa; Arthropoda; Malacostraca; Decapoda; Parastacidae
Source: RefSeq, a predicted model, not a curated record